AGGAGAUUUUUAUUUUCUUUUUUUGUUCUGACUAAGUAAAAACAGGGGAUGCAACUACGCAAGGGAUGAUGUCAGAUCAUUCAAAUGAGAUAUUAGUAGGAGUCAAAGUUGGUGGCUGGUGUAAACGUCAAAGCAACAAAGGGCAUUAUAUUAUUUGAGUAUAUGUAAUGCAGAAAUCAGAGAAGAGGAUAGAUUACCCAGUUUGGGAGCAAGCUGAUGGCGGAAAGGUUCCACUCGAGGGAA
Long non-coding RNA from Chenopodium quinoa (quinoa), 243 nucleotides. RefSeq lists it as uncharacterized. The record is from RefSeq and is a predicted model, not a curated record. NCBI's taxonomy places the organism in Eukaryota, Viridiplantae, Streptophyta, Magnoliopsida, Caryophyllales, Amaranthaceae. The transcript is spliced from 3 exons.